UCUGCACAAACCUUUGGGCAGCCCCAAGAGGCAGCUUGCUGACAGGGCAGGGGCUCUCCCACCAUGGUUCCCUGCUGUUUCUUUGUGGCCAUGCUGGCCCCUUUGGUGUUAGCCCUGGAACAGUCUCCAGACAUGGUGAUCAAAGAAGGCCAGUCCGUGAAUCUGGAAUGCUCCCAGAAGAAAUCCUCCAGCACAGCUAUGUACUGGUUCAUGCUGCCUUCAGAGAAGAAUUCCAGUCUGACUCUACUGGCAUCUGCACUACAGGGUGGUAAUGCAGCAGUGGAGAAGGGUUUUGAGAGCCAUUUCAAGAGCAGCAAGAUAAAAGGAGACAGUAUCACCCUCUCAAUAGAACAUGCCUUUCUCAAUGACUCUGGCACAUACUACUGUGCUGAGGGUGAGCACAGUGGUGAGACUGCUGAGGGAGCUGAGCACAAACCUGUCCCUGCACAAACAGGACCUGCUUUCCACUUGUGGCUGCUGCACGAGGCAGGGUGAUCACUGCUCACUCCUUAGCUGCUCUGCUUCCUCGCCUUGCCUUCUUCCUCUUCUCAGAUGCUGACAGUUUAUUUCUCCAUCAUUGUCUUCUUGCCACUCCAGGCCUCCCUCUGCAUUUACCUCUUUUUAGCAUUACACUUGCUUCUGUCAGCACUUCUUCUGCUCUUUGUCUCCCUUUCCUUCCCUUCCCUAGCUGCUUCUUUCUGUCUUCAAUCUGCACUCCAUUGUCUUCCUCUUACUC
This is a non-coding RNA of Melospiza melodia melodia, 736 nucleotides long. NCBI's taxonomy places the organism in Eukaryota, Metazoa, Chordata, Aves, Passeriformes, Passerellidae. The record is from the annotation of a RefSeq genome assembly.